Molecule: ribosomal RNA, 609 nt
Filed under: uncultured bacterium
Lineage: Bacteria
Description: bacterial SSU rRNA
Rfam family: Bacterial small subunit ribosomal RNA
Source: RNAcentral
CCUACGGGAGGCAGCAGUAGGGAAUAUUGGGCAAUGGAGGCAACUCUGACCCAGCCAUGCCGCGUGAACGAAGAAGGCGCUAUGCGUCGUAAAGUUCUUUUAGAGGGGGCGAAAACACUUGAUUCAUCAAGUACUGACGGUACCUUCGGAAUAAGCACCGGCUAACUCUGUGCCAGCAGCCGCGGUAAUACAGAGGGUGCAAGCGUUAUCCGGAAUCACUGGGUUUAAAGGGUGCGUAGGCGGGAUUAUAAGUCAGAGGUGAAAUCUCGUCGCUUAACGACGGAAUUGCCUUUGAUACUGUUUUUCUUGAAAUUUGUUGAGGUUGGCGGAAUGAGACAUGUAGCGGUGAGAUGCUUAGAUAUGUCUUAGAACACCGAUUGCGAAGGCAGCUGACUGGACAAUAUUUGACGCUGAGGCACGAAAGCGUGGGGAUCAAACAGGAUUAGAUACCCUGGUAGUCCACGCCCUAAACGAUGUUACUUGCUGUUUGUUUUCGGAAUGAGUGGCGAAGCGAAAGCGAUAAGUAAACCACCUGGGGAGUACGCCCGCAAGGGUGAAACUUCAAAGGAAUUGACGGCUUGNGAGNGCGAGACGACGACGAGGAGGAGG